CUAAGAUGGGUUUGAUCAAGCUCAGUCCCUUUCUUGGAUAGUCCAAAAUCAGUAAUUUUUGCCACAAAAUUCUCAUCAAGCAAUAUGUUUAUAGACUUGACAUCACGAUGUAUAACUGCGCUAGUAUGAAGGUAGUGAAGACCUCUGGCUGCCCCGAUGCAUAUCUCCAGCCUCUGCUCCCAGCUCAAAGUGGGUAGAUUUGAGCCAUACAAAUGGCUACGGAGAUUCCCAUUCUCCAUGUAGUCAUAAAUUAGAAUCAUCUCAUUUCUUUCAUUACAGUAUCCAAUCAAUGAAACCAGAUAGGGAUAACGGAACUGAGAGAGCGUCUCAAUUUCUUUUAGAAACUCGGCAGGACCUUG
Molecule: long non-coding RNA, 359 nt
Organism: Solanum stenotomum
Lineage: Eukaryota; Viridiplantae; Streptophyta; Magnoliopsida; Solanales; Solanaceae
Exons: 2
Source: RefSeq, a predicted model, not a curated record